Molecule: ribosomal RNA, 468 nt
Filed under: uncultured bacterium
Lineage: Bacteria
Description: partial 16S ribosomal RNA
Rfam family: Bacterial small subunit ribosomal RNA
Source: RNAcentral
GACGAACGCUGGCGGCGUGCUUAACACAUGCAAGUCGAACGGAAAGGCCCUGCUCUUGUGGGGUGCUCGAGUGGCGAACGGGUGAGUAACACGUGAGUAACCUGCCCUUGACUUUGGGAUAACUUCAGGAAACUGGGGCUCAUACCGGAUAGGAGCUCCUGCUGCAUGGUGGGGGUUGGAAAGUUUCGGCGGUUGGGGAUGGACUCGCGGCUUAUCAGCUUGUUGGUGGGGUAGUGGCUUACCAAGGCUAUGACGGGUAGCCGGCCUGAGAGGGUGACCGGCCACAUUGGGACUGAGAUACGGCCCAGACUCCUACGGGAGGCAGCAGUGGAGAAUAUUGCACAAUGGGCGGGAGCCUGAUGCAGCAACGCCGCGUGCGGGAUGACGGCCUUCGGGUUGUAAACCGCUUUCGCCUGUGACGAAGCGUGAGUGACGGUAAUGGGUAAAGAAGCACCGGCUAACUACGUG